AUGGCCACCGCCGCCGCGGCGGCCGCCGCCGCCACCGCCACCGCCUCCACCCGGGCGAACAGCCUCUCCCGCAUAUUCUCCUCCUCCUCGCCGAUCGUAAAACCACCCAAGCACAAUCCCAAGACCAAGAGCGCGCCGAAGCCGAAGCCGCCCGCCGCCGACGCUGGCUCCAUAGCGGAGAAGAAGUCCCCGAAGCCCCUCGGCGGACCGCAUGCCGCCAAAGCUGAGUCCGACGGGAAGCACAAGCUCCCGAAGCCCCUUGGGCUUCUCGUCAAGGCCCUCAGCCGGCAGCGCGACCCUGACAAGCUGAUCUCCGGGUUCAUCCAAGCGUCAACCGUGUCGUCGCGCUUCCGCGACCGGUACCGCGUGUUCGAGGUAGCGGUGAGCCGCCUCGCUUCCCUCGGCCGCCAAGACGGCAUCGAGGCCAUCAUCGAAGCGCAGUUGCCCUUCCUCGAGACCUCAGCCGAGGGAUUCGCCACGCGCCUCAUCCGCCUCUACGGCCGUGCCUCCAUGCCAUCCCACGCCGCCGCAACCUUCCACAAGCUUCCCGCGCAGCAUAAAUCCAACAUGACAUUCAACUCCCUUCUUUCCUGUUACGCCGACGCCGGAGAUUUUGACGGGCUCACUGCUGCAUUCCAGGAGAUCCCAGCCACUUACCCCUCGAUUGCUCCCACUGUAUACUCUUACAAUGUACUCAUCCACGCAUUGUGCCAGAAGCCAGACAUCUCGGCUGCUCUUGAGACUGUCCUUCUCAUGGAGAAGCACGGUGUUUCACCUGACAUCAUUACUUUCAACACGCUGUUGAAUGGGUUUUGCAACAAUGGCCGCUUCGAUGAAGCAGAGACAGUAUGGGAGAUGAUCAAGGAGAGGAAUUUGGAGCCAGACGCCAAGUGCUACAAUGCCAAGCUCCGGGGUUUGGUUGCAGAAGGGAGGAUUGAUGAUGCAGCUGCUGUGCUUGAGGGAUUGGAGAAGGAUGGGCCAAAACCUAAUACGGUAUCCUACAAUGAGUUGAUUCGAGGAUAUUGCAAAGCGGGGAAGUUACAGGAGGCCAAGAAGCUGUAUGAUGAUUUGGUAAAAAAUGAGUGUGCCCCAAAUAAGGGAACAUAUGAGACUCUCCUGCCACACCUUCUGCAGGCUGGAGAGCUGGAUUGUGCACUGACGUACUGUUAUAAAAUCUUUAGUCAUAAAAGGAACCUUAGAGUAGAGUGUGGUGUGCUGCAGGAUGUAGUGAAUGCAUUGGUGGAUGAAUCGAGGGUGGAGGAGGCUGCCAAGAUUGUUGUGCUGGGGCGGAAGAAGUACUACCCCCGAAAGGGUUUGAGGAUGCCUGAUGGUACAAAAGUCAGUCAAUUAAGAGCUGAAACUGAUGACGAAGAAGCAAUAUCAGAAGAAGAGUGUGAAGUGGAACACGAGACUGAAAAAUAA
RNAcentral lists this ribosomal RNA (1422 nucleotides) under Triticum aestivum (bread wheat). RNAcentral's name for it is "partial small subunit ribosomal RNA". Lineage: Eukaryota; Viridiplantae; Streptophyta; Magnoliopsida; Poales; Poaceae. The record is from RNAcentral.